UAGACACAAACUUUUCUUCCCUACUAAGUA
RNAcentral lists this non-coding RNA (30 nucleotides) under Mus musculus (house mouse). Lineage: Eukaryota; Metazoa; Chordata; Mammalia; Rodentia; Muridae. The record is from RNAcentral.